Molecule: long non-coding RNA, 425 nt
Organism: Olea europaea var. sylvestris
Lineage: Eukaryota; Viridiplantae; Streptophyta; Magnoliopsida; Lamiales; Oleaceae
Exons: 2
Source: RefSeq, a predicted model, not a curated record
CUUUUCAUAAAUAUCUCUCUAAUAAAAUAGCACAGAGAGAAAAGCAAUCACUUCUACAGUCUCUCUCUUGAGCCCCCAUAGAAUCCCUUUCUUCCACCUAUCUCUGUCGCCUGCGAGCACCGAAAAUUUCUGCAGAUUGACGUGUCUACUGGUUUCGGAGCUCAAAAUUCAAACUCGGGAUACUGCCUCGAAGAUGAUGGCAUGUGCAAAGUUUGAGGGUAAACGAUUUGGCGAGAAAAAUAAUUUAAAUAUUUUGUGAAGUACAGUUGAAGUUAUUCUCUUGCAAUAGGGACUUUACAAAGAUUUGUAAGGUAAGAUGUCACAAGGCAUGAAGAAGCGGAGUUGGAAGAAUUGAAACUGGAGACAGUCAACACCAUUAGAUUGGCUUGUACUUAGGUAAGAAUAAUGCUGAACAAAUAGGGAAU